CAGGUAGCCUCCAGGAGAGCCGGGACCUUGUAUGUGAAUUUUGUUUAUCACUGUAUCCCCAGCAUAGCAGGAUGCAAGUCUUAUAAUAAGUACCCCGAUGGCAUAUACUUAUAUUUACCUGCCUCACUCAUUUUGGGCAUGGCCAUGUAACCGGGUGCACAGAAGUGGGAGUGUACUGAGGCUUUGAAUGUUUGUUUAGCCUCUGGAGCUCCUGCCUACUCCAUGAUGCCACUUCUGCAGGCUCUCAGAACUGUCUGUCUUUGAAAAGGGCUAUCCUUGUUGUGGGAGGCCCUCAGCUUUCCGAGGAGGUUGGAAAGAAUGGAGCUCAGAGAAAUGGAGGGGCCCCCGCAAGCUGCAGCA
This is a long non-coding RNA of Prionailurus viverrinus (fishing cat), 360 nucleotides long. RefSeq lists it as uncharacterized. Lineage: Eukaryota; Metazoa; Chordata; Mammalia; Carnivora; Felidae. The transcript is spliced from 3 exons. The record is from RefSeq and is a predicted model, not a curated record.